Molecule: long non-coding RNA, 1160 nt
Filed under: Marmota monax (woodchuck)
Lineage: Eukaryota; Metazoa; Chordata; Mammalia; Rodentia; Sciuridae
Source: RNAcentral
UUCAAAUAAAUAUUUAAAGACGGCCCAUGUGCAGUGAAAGAGACAAAAAGGAAGAAAACUGCCCCCAUUGUCAAGGGCUUUUAUGGGAGGAAGUCAAACAUAGCCACAUUCAGUCCUAAAAUACUUUGUGUAUGUCCAUAAUAAUUUUGCAGAGUUCUGUAGGAUUUAGGUGAUUUCUGGAGAAUCAUAUGACCAUUUGUAGGGAUCAAGAAAGACACUGACUCCAAAGUACUUUGUGUAUGUUACUAACUUAAGUAAAGCAGAAGAAAAUGUGUUAUUUUAAUAGGUGUGUUACUAGAGAAGAGAUAACUAAAGGCACAGAUACAAAUGUGGAUGGGAGUCAUGGAGUAGUGAAUUACCUUUGGGAGCUGGAGGGUAAGGUGUGAACAGCAGUUUAGUGAAAGGAAAGACUGGAAAAUACAAGUUGGAGAAAGAGUAAGCCAUAAUAGAAAGUUGACACUUUAAUUUUGUAGACAACUGGGGAUUUUUCAGAUGUGUCAUUUCUGGUCUGUUUUAAGAUCUUUCUAAUGCUGAUAAAAAAUGUAAAGUAGAAAUGUAGUCUGAGGAAAUCAAUGAAGAUUGGUAGUUAUACACUUUUAAUUAUGCAAGCAAAAUUUGAAGGAAAUCUGAACUCCAGCACUGUUAUUGGAGUGGAAAGGAUAGACGAAAGAUUUAAGAGACACUUUCAAAAGUAAACCAUCUUGGUGCCCUAUUGACUGUUGGACAUAAAGAAGAAGGUGUUAAGAAUUAUUGCAGGGCUACUGAGGAUAUAGCUCAGUGGUAGAUUGCUUGCCUCCAUGCUCAAGACCCUGGGUUCAACCCCCAGCACCAAAAACAAACAAAACAACAGCAACAAAAAACAUUACUCCAAAUAAUGCUGCCAUCCUAGAAGAAACACAGUUGAAGGCCAAGUUUGCUUGUGUUGGGAGGAAGGUGGUGAUGAGAGGAUGUAGGUAAGAAAAUGGCCAAUCAGUUAAUGUACAUACAGGUGAAAGUAUUCAGCAACUAGUUUGUAAAUGUAAUUAGUACUCAGGCGAGGGAUAAUGGCUGGUAUAAUAUUUUGAGAGAGUCCUCAACAUAAAAACAAUAGAAUAAAUCACAGAAAGAGAUGCAUAUUGAUAUCAUCAUAAGCACUUAGCACUGUGCAUGGCAAACAGUAG